Molecule: microRNA, 18 nt
Filed under: Corchorus olitorius
Lineage: Eukaryota; Viridiplantae; Streptophyta; Magnoliopsida; Malvales; Malvaceae
Description: cin-miR-4208-
Source: RNAcentral
UGAUGUGAUUUUAAGUUU